AAUAGAUACCCCGUAGUCAUGCCGUAAACGGUUGGGAACGUAGAUGUACGGGCCUGUUCCACGGGUUCUGUGUCGUAGCUAACGGCAUUAAGUUCCCCGCCUGGGGAGUACGGCCGCAAGGCUAAAACUCAAAGGAAUUGACGGGGGCCCGCACAAGCGGCGGAGCAUGCGGAUUAAUUCGAUGCAACGCGAAGAACCUUACCAAGGCUUGACAUAUAGAAGAACGGGUCAGAAAUGAUCAACUCUUUUGGACACUUCUAUACAGGUGGUGCAUGGUUGUCGUCAGCUCGUGUCGUGAGAUGUUCGGUUAAGUCCGGCAACGAGCGCAACCCUCGUCCUAUGUUGCCAGCACGUCAUGGUGGGAACUCAUGGGAUACUGCCGUGGUCAACACGGAGGAAGGUGGGGAUGACGUCAAGUCAUCAUGCCCCUUAUGUCUUGGGCUUCACGCAUGCUACAAUGGCCGGUACAAAGGGCUGCGAUACCGCGAGGUGGAGCGAAUACCCAAAAAGCCGGUCUCAGUUCGGAGUUGGGU
This 533-nucleotide ribosomal RNA is filed under the name uncultured bacterium. RNAcentral's name for it is "bacterial SSU rRNA". It matches the Rfam family "Bacterial small subunit ribosomal RNA", at positions 777 to 1304 of the family's 1533-position model. The record is from RNAcentral.